UGAAGAAUUUGUCCAACGGUGGGGGAUAGCCGGCCCAACGGCCGGGUAAUACCGCGUACGCCCUUCGAGCGGCAUCGCUUGAUGGGGAAAGUCGCAAGACGCCGAUGGAGAACUUCGCGGCCUAUCAGCUAGUUGGUGAGGUCAUGGCUCACCAAGGCGACGACGGGUAGCUGAUCCGAGAGGAUGGCCAGCCACAUUGGGACUGAGACACGGCCCAGACUCCGUACGGGAGCAG
This 235-nucleotide ribosomal RNA is filed under the name uncultured bacterium. RNAcentral describes it as "partial 16S ribosomal RNA". It matches the Rfam family "Bacterial small subunit ribosomal RNA", at positions 118 to 347 of the family's 1533-position model. The record is from RNAcentral.